This 269-nucleotide ribosomal RNA is filed under the name uncultured bacterium. Its description in RNAcentral is "partial 16S ribosomal RNA". It matches the Rfam family "Bacterial small subunit ribosomal RNA", at positions 28 to 278 of the family's 1533-position model. The record is from RNAcentral.
GAUGAACGCUAGCUACAGGCUUAACACAUGCAAGUCGAGGGGCGAUCAGGAAGAAAGACUUGCUUUCUUUUGUCUGGCGACCGGCGCACGGGUGAGUAACACGUAUCCAACCUGCCCUUUACUUCGGGGAGUAGCCUUUCGUAAAGAAAGAUUAAUACCCGACUGGGAGUAAUUAUUCCGCAUGGUUUCAUUAUUAAAGGAAUUCCGGUAAAGGAUGGGGAGUGCGUUCCAUUAGGUUGUUGGUGAGGUAACGGCUCACCAAGCCUUCG